Long non-coding RNA from Bombus pascuorum, 629 nucleotides. RefSeq lists it as uncharacterized. The record is from RefSeq and is a predicted model, not a curated record. NCBI's taxonomy places the organism in Eukaryota, Metazoa, Arthropoda, Insecta, Hymenoptera, Apidae. The transcript is spliced from 3 exons.
AGCGUUUGAAUCGUUCCACUUUGAAAUUGCUAUGUCUAAUUAUAUUUAAUAAAAUUCACUAUAUUGUAGGUUAGAAUUAUGUUAUUGAUGAUUGCAUUAUGAGAAUGGUGUAAACAUCUCAAACAGCAGAGUGGUAGUAUAUAAUUAGUAUAACCAGAGAUGAAAUAAGGUGGCAUUAGCGUCACGCGUUUGAAAAAUACUCAUCUACUUCGUUUGCCCCAGUAUUUGAGGGGUAAUGCGAGAAUACUAACAGGGUGGUAUUGAAUCGAUUGAAUUACUACGAGAAAUCGGUGAUGAUGUUCGAUCGUGUAUUCGAGCCAUGAAUUCGAUUAGGCAUUGCGUGGCCCACGACGCGGAUAGCCUGUUUACCGUGUCGAUUUAGGAACUUGAUAUCCUCGACGUGCAGCGUGGUAAGUCCGUAGAUUCGUACGCGUAUCACAGGGCAACGCGUUAUAGAAUUUCCUCGUUCCAUAUCGAAUUUAGCUGUCCCUUUCAGUGCGUCAUUUGUCUUGGUAUGUCUAUCCACGAACCCUCGUAAUAACUUCAAGCUUCGUUUCACUCGAGUCGUGCAAACAUUGCGAUCGACUAGUAACUAGCAUUGUGAUACAGUUAUCGAGAUUACUAUACAC